RNAcentral lists this ribosomal RNA (275 nucleotides) under uncultured bacterium. RNAcentral's name for it is "partial 16S ribosomal RNA". It matches the Rfam family "Bacterial small subunit ribosomal RNA", at positions 399 to 691 of the family's 1533-position model. The record is from RNAcentral.
GCGUGAGUGAUGAAGGUCUUCGGAUUGUAAAACUCUUUCGUCAGGGACGAUAAUGACUGUACCUGAAGAAGAAGCCCCGGCUAACUUCGUGCCAGCAGCCGCGGUAAUACGAAGGGGGCUAGCGUUGUUCGGAAUUACUGGGCGUAAAGCGCGCGUAGGCGGAUCGUUAAGUCGGAGGUGAAAGCCCUGGGCUCAACCCAGGAACGGCCUUCGAUACUGGCGAUCUUGAGGGUGAGAGAGGCGAGUGGAAUUCCGAGUGUAGCAGUGAAAUGCGU